RNAcentral lists this unclassified non-coding RNA (215 nucleotides) under rhizosphere metagenome. RNAcentral describes it as "partial ribosomal RNA internal transcribed spacer region". The record is from RNAcentral.
GUAGGUGAACCUGCGGAAGGAUCAUUACAGAGUAUCAUGCCCUUCGGGGUAGAUCUCCACCCUUGAAUAACAUACCUUUGUUGCUUUGGCAGGACGCACUCGUGCCAGGGGCUUCGGCUCUUGAGUGCCUGCCAGAGGACCUAAACUCUGUUUGUCUAUAAUGUCUGAGUACUAUAUAAUAGUUAAAACUUUCAACAACGGAUCUCUUGGUUCUG